RNAcentral lists this transfer RNA (77 nucleotides) under Rhizobium sullae. RNAcentral's name for it is "tRNA-Pro". It matches the Rfam family "tRNA". Rfam says of the family: Transfer RNA (tRNA) molecules are approximately 80 nucleotides in length. RNAcentral also lists the same sequence under 4 other names. The record is from RNAcentral. Lineage: Bacteria; Pseudomonadati; Pseudomonadota; Alphaproteobacteria; Hyphomicrobiales; Rhizobiaceae.
CGGGGCGUAGCGCAGCCCGGUAGCGCACUUGACUGGGGGUCAAGGGGUCGCUGGUUCGAAUCCAGUCGCCCCGACCA